GAUGAACGCUGGCGGCGUGCUUAACACAUGCAAGUCGAACGAAGCAUUUAAAUUAGAUUUCUUCGGAAAGAAGAUUUAAAUGACUGAGUGGCGGACGGGUGAGUAACGCGUGGGUAACCUGCCUUAUACUGGGGGAUAACAGUUAGAAAUGACUGCUAAUACCGCAUAAGCGCACGGCAUCACAUGAUGCAGUGUGAAAAACUCCGGUGGUAUAAGAUGGACCCGCGUCUGAUUAGCUAGUUGGUGAGGUAACGGCUCACCAAGGCGACGAUCCGUAGCUGGUCUGAGAGGAUGAUCAGCCACACUGGGACUGAGACACGGCCCAGACUCCUACGGGUGCAG
Molecule: ribosomal RNA, 342 nt
Filed under: uncultured Bacillota bacterium
Lineage: Bacteria; Bacillati; Bacillota
Description: bacterial SSU rRNA
Rfam family: Bacterial small subunit ribosomal RNA
Source: RNAcentral